This 253-nucleotide ribosomal RNA is filed under the name uncultured bacterium. Its description in RNAcentral is "partial 16S ribosomal RNA". It matches the Rfam family "Bacterial small subunit ribosomal RNA", at positions 524 to 776 of the family's 1533-position model. The record is from RNAcentral.
UACGGAGGGUGCAAGCGUUAUCCGGAUUCACUGGGUUUAAAGGGUGCGUAGGUGGGUUGGUAAGUCAGUGGUGAAAUCUCCGAGCUUAACUUGGAAACUGCCAUUGAUACUAUCAGUCUUGAAUAUUGUGGAGGUCAGCGGAAUAUGUCAUGUAGCGGUGAAAUGCUUAGAUAUGACAUAGAACACCAAUGGCGAAGGCAGCUGGCUACACAUAUAUUGACACUGAGGCACGAAAGCGUGGGGAGCAAACAGG